This 477-nucleotide ribosomal RNA is filed under the name Triticum aestivum (bread wheat). RNAcentral describes it as "partial small subunit ribosomal RNA". The record is from RNAcentral. Lineage: Eukaryota; Viridiplantae; Streptophyta; Magnoliopsida; Poales; Poaceae.
AUGUAUACAUGCGUUGACUUGGAUUUAGCUACGCAUUGGAGAUCGCUCAAAAAAAAAACCUAUGCAUUGGAGGAGGGCGAGCCGCAAGUGAGGGAGCUGCCAGCGUUUUUGAACAAUGUGUGGAAUCCCUUCAUUAGGUUGUACAGAUCGUGUGAUACUACUAAUCAAAGAGUACAAUUUGAUAUUGAGCCAUGUGGCAAGCAUCUUGCCACUGGUGGGCAGGACGGCAUGGUCCAUAUUUAUGACCUUCAAGGUGGCCAAUGGGUGACAGGCUUCCAAGCAGCUGCUGAUACUGUCAACGGUUUCUCCUUCCUCUUGCUACAACAUCGUCUGGGCACAGAAGAUUUGGUAUGCAAGAUGAAUUCGAAGAGGAAUCGAGUUUGGCAGGUGAUGAGAAUUGCUGCUCUGUCUGGAAGUUUUCUUGCUCACAAGAAUCUUGAAACAACAUUAAACCCUAAGCUGUGGUGGGACAGGUGA